AUGGCCGCAUUGUUCACGACGAAGCUAGGGCGUCAGGCGUCCGGGUACCUGCAGGACAAGUACAAGCAGGCGAGGCUCGCCCUCGGCGACGUCACGCCGGCAGAGCUGGCUGUGCAGGAGGCGACCAACGACGACGCGUGCGUCCCGGACGCCAAGACGCUGGCGUCCAUCGCGGAGGCGGCCUUCGACAUCGACGACUACUGGCGGAUCGCCAACGUGCUCCACCGCCGCCUCGGCUGCGUCCACGACUGGAAGGAGUGGCGGCCCGUGUACAAGGCGCUCGUCGUCCUCGAGUUCCUCCUCACCCACGGCCCCGAGGAGCUCCCCGGGGACUUCCUCCCGGACAUGCAGGCCCUGCGCGACCUCCGCGGCUUCACCUACACCGACGACAAGGGCUUCGACUGGGGCGCCUCCAUGCAGCGCCGCGCCGACAGCGUCGUCGGCCUCCUCACCGACGCCGACCGCCUCAAGGACGCGCGCCAGAGGGUCCGCUCCCUCUCCUUCUCCCACGACGGCGGCAGCCCCACCUCCUCCGUCGCCUCCUCGGCCUCCUCGCGGGCCUCCCGCGGCACCUGGUCCUUCGCCUCCUCCUCGCCGCACUACUCCGAUAGCCCCACCUUCGUCUGCCUCUGCGGCCCUAAUGUCGACUACCGCCAUGACAAGAAGUUCGACGCCUACACCGCCGACGACAAGCGUGAUCUCGUCGACGACCAGGAGGUCGACGACUACCCGACUCCGCACAGCCAAGGAAGCUGGCUCGAGGAAUCCACCCCCUUGUCCGGCUCCCCGGUCAGCUGCGGCAGCGCCAGAAGCGCCGGCGGUGGCAGGAGGGCGUCCGGAUUCAAUAGCUUGUCUCAGCCUGAGAGAAGGAACAGCAGCAAGAAGCUCCAGCGCCAGCUUUCCUUGCACUAUUAA
Molecule: ribosomal RNA, 915 nt
Filed under: Triticum aestivum (bread wheat)
Lineage: Eukaryota; Viridiplantae; Streptophyta; Magnoliopsida; Poales; Poaceae
Description: partial small subunit ribosomal RNA
Source: RNAcentral